GACGAACGCUGGCGGCGUGCUUAACACAUGCAAGUCGAACGGAAAGGCCCUGCUUUUGUGGGGUGCUCGAGUGGCGAACGGGUGAGUAACACGUGAGUAACCUGCCCUUGACUUUGGGAUAACUUCAGGAAACUGGGGCUAAUACCGGAUAGGAGCUCCUGCUGCAUGGUGGGGGUUGGAAAGUUUCGGCGGUUGGGGAUGGACUCGCGGCUUAUCAGCUUGUUGGUGGGGUAGUGGCUUACCAAGGCUUUGACGGGUAGCCGGCCUGAGAGGGUGACCGGCCACAUUGGGACUGAGAUACGGCCCAGACUCCUACGGGAGGCAGCAGUGGGGAAUAUUGCACAAUGGGCGGAAGCCUGAUGCAGCAACGCCGCGUGCGGGAUGACGGCCUUCGGGUUGUAAACCGCUUUCGCCUGUGACGAAGCGUGAGUGACGGUAAUGGGUAAAGAAGCACCGGCUAACUACGUGCCAGCAGCCGCGGUGAUACGUAGGGUGCGAGCGUUGUCCGGAUUUAUUGGGCGUAAAGGGCUCGUAGGUGGUUGAUCGCGUCGGAAGUGUAAUCUUGGGGCUUAACCCUGAGCGUGCUUUCGAUACGGGUUGACUUGAGGAAGGUAGGGGAGAAUGGAAUUCCUGGUGGAGCGGUGGAAUGCGCAGAUAUCAGGAGGAACACCAGUGGCGAAGGCGGUUCUCUGGGCCUUUCCUGACGUUGAGGAGCGAAAGCGUGGGGAGCGAACAGGCUUAGAUACCCUGGUAGUCCACGCUGUAAACGGUGGGUACUAGGUGUGGGGUCCAUUCCACGGGUUCCGUGCCGUAGCUAACGCUUUAAGUACCCCGCCUGGGGAGUACGGCCGCAAGGCUAAAACUCAAAGGAAUUGACGGGGCCCCGCACAAGCGGCGGAGCAUGCGGAUUAAUUCGAUGCAACGCGUAGAACCUUACCUGGGUUUGACAUGGAUCGGGAGUGCUCAGAGAUGGGUGUGCCUCUUUUGGGGUCGGUUCACAGGUGGUGCAUGGCUGUCGUCAGCUCGUGUCGUGAGAUGUUGGGUUAAGUCCCGCAACGAGCGCAACCCUUGUUCACUGUUGCCAGCACGUUAUGGUGGGGACUCAGUGGAGACCGCCGGGGUCAACUCGGAGGAAGGUGGGGAUGACGUCAAGUCAUCAUGCCCCUUAUGUCCAGGGCUUCACGCAUGCUACAAUGGCUGGUACAGAGAGUGGCGAGCCUGUGAGGGUGAGCGAAUCUCGGAAAGCCGGUCUCAGUUCGGAUUGGGGUCUGCAACUCGACCUCAUGAAGUCGGAGUCGCUAGUAAUCGCAGAUCAGCAACGCUGCGGUGAAUACGUUCCCGGG
RNAcentral lists this ribosomal RNA (1343 nucleotides) under uncultured bacterium. RNAcentral describes it as "16S ribosomal RNA". It matches the Rfam family "Bacterial small subunit ribosomal RNA", at positions 28 to 1378 of the family's 1533-position model. The record is from RNAcentral.